CAUCAUGUAAAGCAUUUUGCUGCUUAAGGGGAAGAACAAGAUGAAAAUGCCUGCCUCUUCCAUGUACAAAAGGUAACUGGAUGAGCAAUUUAAUUGUUCUUCAACAUGAGGCGGUUAUUUUCUGCUGCAUAUUAAAGCAGCAGAGCUGGAAUGUUAUUUUUAACAUUAUUUUAAUCAUUACUGGUUCCUGUUAAAGUGGUCACAUACAAAAUUACUUUUUACUAACUCAUUACUGCUAUUGCAGCUGUUUUGUGCUUUUACACUAUACAGUUGAGUCUCUUAUCCAUCCUUCACUCAUCCAACAUUCUGUAUUAUCCAAUGCAGUCUGCCUCCCACCCAGAUCCACAGCUGUUUCUCUUUUUAAAAAAUCUUCACAGGACUGAACUUUUUAGGGAUUUAACUUCCAACAAUGUUGUUAUGAUUCUCUUCUCUGUACAUGGAUUCAGUGGCCCUUUGAAGGCAAUGAUAAGGCUGAUGUGGUCCUCCAUGAAAGAUUGUCUUUGGUCCCAAACUAUGAAAAAGGCAAGAAAUAUAAAACCUGCAAUUCUGGAAUAUGCAGAAAAAAAGAAAGAAAGAAAGAAAGAAAGAAAGAAAGAAAGAGAAAGAGAAAGAGAAAGAGAAAGAGAAAGAGAAAGAGAAAGAGAAAGAGAAAGAGAAAAAGAGAAAGAA
Molecule: long non-coding RNA, 669 nt
Organism: Anolis carolinensis (green anole)
Lineage: Eukaryota; Metazoa; Chordata; Lepidosauria; Squamata; Anolidae
Exons: 3
Source: RefSeq, a predicted model, not a curated record